CGGGAGUGUGAACUAGGUUUCUAUUCAAGCGUUGAUCGUUCAUUUCUAGCGAGAAAUGUGUUAAAGCUGCGGUGUAAGCAAGAUAAUCAACUCUGUUUUCUGGGAAAUAAUGCAACUCUGUGGAAGGUCCACUCUUCAGCUUCGAUGUCCACAAUGACAUUCGGCUGGUGAAUGACGCCACCGUUGAAAAAGACGAGUCUCACACAGGUAGAGUGGUGCUGAGGAGCUGGUAUGAGAAGAACAAGCACAUCUUCCCUGCUAGUCGCUGGGAGACCUAUGACCCCGGAGAAGAAAUGGGACAAAUACACCUUUCUUGUUUUUCAGAUCCGGUGAAGAUAUUGCCUUCAGGAUCAUUCUGGACCCAGAUUUUAUUUUCAUGUUUUACUAUUAAUGUAUUGUCAGAUGCAUUCUCCUUUCAGAUGAAUACAUUUCAUUAACUUUAAAACAUUAGGUUACUCUUCAUUGUUACUCCUCUACCUUUUUAUUUAAAUUCCCCAAAGUGUUGUUGCCUAAAUCAUGAAACCGUAGUGAUCUCUUUACCAAUAACAUAACAGUUCUGUUGAAGAAAUAUUCCCAUUUGAAUUCCUAUGAAAAUAUUUCCUUUAAUUAAAAAAAAAAAAUACAAAUAAACC
This is a long non-coding RNA of Salvelinus namaycush (lake trout), 632 nucleotides long. RefSeq lists it as uncharacterized. The transcript is spliced from 4 exons. NCBI's taxonomy places the organism in Eukaryota, Metazoa, Chordata, Actinopteri, Salmoniformes, Salmonidae. The record is from RefSeq and is a predicted model, not a curated record.